GACGAACGCUGGCGGCGUGGAUUAGGCAUGCAAGUCGAACGGUAUCAUCCUUUCGGGGGUGAGAGAGUGGCGAACUGGUGAGUAACACGUAGGUUAUCUACCCUCAAGACGGGGACAACCCAGGGAAACUUGGGCUAAUACCGGAUGUGAGCAACUUUUAGUUGUUUGAAAGGUGGCGUAAGCUGUCGCUUGGGGAUGAGCCUGCGUCCUAUUAGUUAGUUGGUGAGGUAACGGCUCACCUAGGCAAUGAUAGGUAGGCGGCCUUAACGGGUGGUCGCCCACACUGGGAUUGAGAUACGGCCCAGACUCCGUACGGGAGGCAGCAGUCGAGAAUAGUCUACAAUGGUCGGAAGACUGAUAGUGCGACGCCGCGUGAACGAUGAAUCCCUUCGGGGUUAAAGUUCUUUUAUAUGUGAGCAGUGCUUCUUAUAUUAACAGUAUGGGGAAGAGAUAUUAGCAUAUGAAUAAGCAACGGCUAACUCCGUGCCAGCAGCCGCGGUAAGACG
This 506-nucleotide ribosomal RNA is filed under the name uncultured bacterium. RNAcentral's name for it is "bacterial SSU rRNA". It matches the Rfam family "Bacterial small subunit ribosomal RNA", at positions 28 to 527 of the family's 1533-position model. The record is from RNAcentral.